CCACCCGCCAAAUCUUUCCCCCAUGUACUAAACAUGACGAAUCAGUUAUCAACACUUGCGCCGAACUUUGGGCAACAGGCGUUAUGGAGAAGCUCCUCAACAGAUUGCAGCAGGCAAUGCAACACCUUCCUCUGGUUUUUGAUUAGUUUGCCAGCACCAUUGAGAUUAUAAUUAUCAGAUCACUAGCAAAUCAAGUAGACUUGCCUCAAAAGGUAGUGCAGGGUCUUUCCAACCUGUAUAGUCUAGUCAAUGCUGAAAUGGAAGAAAGAUGUGCCCCAUCAAUUGUUGAGUUGGAUGGUGAAAUGGGAGGUCCUAAACUGAUUGUGUCAGAACAGCACCUUCGACAGGUGAUUGAAAUGGAUCUGCCUGUACCUUGCAACUGCUUGGCAUCUCAUCAAAAACUGACUAACGUAGAAUGCAGGAAUACGGUAUCAUGGUGAGGGGAACAUACAGCCAAAUGAUAGACGAGGAGCUGGACAAUCUGGUGGACACAAUCAAGACAAGUUCACCACAAUUAGGAUGGUGAGUUAACGUCUGAAAGCACUGGGUCAUCGAGUCCAGUGGACCCGAGUGUGGGACUCAGUGCAUCGUGUAGAUGAUGCAGGAAUACAGGAAAGAAUGGCACAACUUGGAUGUGUUGUCAGAAGAACAUACUCUGUUUGUCUUUCACUCAUACAUGUGGACACCAACCACAAGUUGAUCAGUGUCAUCAAACCAGAUCUGUGGACACAAACCGGAAAAGAGCUCGGGAGAUAAUGAGCGAGAAUCUUGAGGUCACCUACAAGGGAGAAGAGCGUGACUUUCUGAAGAAUGAGUCAAUACAAAGGAAACAAGACGAGGAAAAAGGCAAAAGAGAAGUUGGAGAAGACUGCUCAAAGAGGCACUGUUAGCAGAUUCCAAACCAAGGGAUGAAAAGGCUUUCUUUUUUUUUUUACCCUGUGAAAGGAUGAAAAGGAUGCAUGAACAUAAAAUUCAGACUGAUCAACAAAUGUGUCCUACCUCAUUGUGAUCUGUGUUGUAAAUAAAGAGCACCUAUUGAAAUCAA
Salvelinus namaycush (lake trout) is the source of this 1045-nucleotide long non-coding RNA. RefSeq lists it as uncharacterized. The transcript has 3 exons. The record is from RefSeq and is a predicted model, not a curated record. NCBI's taxonomy places the organism in Eukaryota, Metazoa, Chordata, Actinopteri, Salmoniformes, Salmonidae.